AUACGGAGGGGGUUAGCGUUGUUCGGAAUUACUGGGCGUAAAGCGCACGUAGGCGGACUGGAAAGUUGGGGGUGAAAUCCCGGGGCUCAACCCCGGAACUGCCUCCAAAACUUCCAAUCUAGAGAUCGAGAGAGGUGAGUGGAAUUCCAAGUGUAGAGGUGAAAUUCGUAGAUAUUCGGAGGAACACCAGUGGCGAAGGCGGCUCACUGGCUCGAUACUGACGCUCAGGUGCGAAAGCGUGGGGAGCAAACAGGAUUAGAAACCCUAGUAGUCC
Molecule: ribosomal RNA, 274 nt
Filed under: uncultured bacterium
Lineage: Bacteria
Description: partial 16S ribosomal RNA
Rfam family: Bacterial small subunit ribosomal RNA
Source: RNAcentral